RNAcentral lists this non-coding RNA (79 nucleotides) under Hoeflea sp. The record is from RNAcentral. Lineage: Bacteria; Pseudomonadati; Pseudomonadota; Alphaproteobacteria; Hyphomicrobiales; Rhizobiaceae.
CAGUUAUCCCGUGGUGAUUUGGCCGGCCGGCUUGCAGCCACGUUAAACAAGUCGCUAAAAGGGUCGGGUUGCAAGACCG